Molecule: ribosomal RNA, 830 nt
Filed under: Erioscyphella sp.
Lineage: Eukaryota; Fungi; Ascomycota; Leotiomycetes; Helotiales; Lachnaceae
Description: partial large subunit ribosomal RNA
Rfam family: Eukaryotic large subunit ribosomal RNA
Source: RNAcentral
CGGCGAGUGAAGCGGUAACAGCUCAAAUUUGAAAUCUGGCUCUUUCAGGGUCCGAGUUGUAAUUUGUAGAAGAUGCUUGGGGUGUGGCUCCAGUCUAAGUUCCUUGGAACAGGACGUCAUAGAGGGUGAGAAUCCCGUAUGUGAUUGGUGGCCUUCGCCCGUGUCAGGCUCUUUCGACGAGUCGAGUUGUUUGGGAAUGCAGCUCAAAAUGGGUGGUAAAUUUCAUCUAAAGCUAAAUAUGGGCCAGAGACCGAUAGCGCACAAGUAGAGUGAUCGAAAGAUGAAAAGCACUUUGGAAAGAGAGUUAAACAGUACGUGAAAUUGUUGAAAGGGAAGCGUUGGCAACCAGACUCGCAGACCGCUAAUCAUCCGGGGUUCUCCCCGGUGCACUUGGUGGCUUUCGGGCCAGCAUCGGUUUCGAGAGUGGGAUAAAGGCCGUGGGAAUGUAGCUUCUUUCGGGGAGUGUUAUAGCCCUCGGUGUCAUGCCAUUCCUCGGGACCGAGGACCGCGCUUCGGCUAGGAUGCUGGCGUAAUGGUUGUCAACGGCCCGUCUUGAAACACGGACCAAGGAGUCUAACAUCUAUGCGAGUAUUUGGGUGCUAAACCCAUAUGCGUAAUGAAAGUGAACGGAGGUAAGAGCCCUUAAGGGUGCAUUAUCGACCGAUCCUAAUGUCUUCGGAUGGAUUUGAGUAAGAGCAUAGCUGUUGGGACCCGAAAGAUGGUGAACUAUGCCUAAAUAGGGUGAAGCCAGAGGAAACUCUGGUGGAGGCUCGCAGCGGUUCUGACGUGCAAAUCGAUCGUCAAAUUUGGGUAUAGGGGCGAAGACUAUC